UAGGUUAUAAAACAGAACCAUUUCUUGGGUGUAAUGCAAGUGAAGAGAGUUUGUCAUGUUUCAUAUGUGUUUAUAAGAAGAAAGUGUUCAAUGUGGUUAUAAUUUAGGGUACAGUGUUAUUUAUUGCCAGUGUUAUUAUUAGGGUGUUGUGCCAGUAGAUCGCCAGUAGGUGUCAGUGUCGCUACAGAAGUCGUGUAUGUGAAGUGAGCGUCACAGGGAAGUCUCGCGUGAAUACGUGAGAUAACGAGAAUCUCUGCGUACAAGAUAGAAACAGAAUACACUGUGUAGCGAUGUCAACCUAAAGCAUUAUUUUACAUUUUGCAGUGGCCUGAGAGGGUCCGAGGGAGGUGAGACUUUCAACACACUACUCUUUUGACCUCUUCCUCCUCCUCCUCCUCUCACAUUUCUAAUGACUGCAGGGACACUGAAGCAAGUUCUGGGUCAAGGACCAUACCGCUCCUUCUGACACCCAGCCACAGUACGGGUCUCUGGAGGCUAUACAAGACCUGGAUGUGACACAUAUACACAAUCAUCAUAUGCGAGACAGCGGCACUUUAACCACACAGGAGCCGAAAGCGACCCACAGUGCGUGACUCUUGCCGUCUAUCUGCAUGCCGAUGAUGCGUUUGUCGUCCACGCCAUCAAUACUGCACCUAGAAGACAGAGGAGAAGAUAAAAGGUUUGAACGCACCAGCGGAUGAGAAAUCAAUCACAUCAAUCGCUGCGGAGACAUCGGAGGGGGGUAUAUCCGAUCUACGCAACGUCUGACCUUGUCGAACACAAACAGGUGUGGAGAAGGUCGCCAUCACUACGUCCCUCCCGUUGAUGUGGAUGACAUCUGUCACAGCCUGCAGGAUGUUGAAGUAGAAGUGGGAGUCGCCGGGGAUGGAGCAGUUCAGGCGAGACUUGAGGAACGAGGUCCACUGCUUCUCCAGGACGCGGGGCGAGCCACCUCGGUCGAUCUUGCAAACCCGGGCCACCCGAGGAAACACCACCUGACGGAGACACACACAGCUGUCUUCAGCCCCAACCGACGCUGCCUCAAGCCGCAUAACUUGAGUAUGGUUACAGUGCGACUGGCAGGGCAUGGCGGUGGAUCAGAUGUGGGUGAAAGGUCACUAUCAGCCCUCCACGGGUUGGCUUGUCUUCCCCAGCAUGCCUCAGGACACUCUCUACCCGACUACAGACCAGAGAUGCACACACACGAGAGAGGAGAGAAGAAAAGCCAUACUGCGCUGUCCAGAGGCUGAGACCUGCCACUGUGCCACUGAUGAGCGUUGGUUGACGCAGGCGGUUUGCUAGCUGAUUGAUUGGAUAAUCUUCUUAACGGGGUCAGCAUGGCGAGCGCGGCAGGCUCACGCCGGUGAGUGGGUGAGUAAGACUCCUGGCAGGCACACGUAUACGCCCACGUGCACACACACAGUGGCACUCAGAGCCAGGUUAUUAGGGUUACGUUGUCAAUCACAGCA
Sebastes umbrosus (honeycomb rockfish) is the source of this 1469-nucleotide long non-coding RNA. RefSeq lists it as uncharacterized. The record is from RefSeq and is a predicted model, not a curated record. The transcript has 8 exons. Lineage: Eukaryota; Metazoa; Chordata; Actinopteri; Perciformes; Sebastidae.